This is a long non-coding RNA of Pogonomyrmex barbatus (red harvester ant), 652 nucleotides long. RefSeq lists it as uncharacterized. NCBI's taxonomy places the organism in Eukaryota, Metazoa, Arthropoda, Insecta, Hymenoptera, Formicidae. The record is from RefSeq and is a predicted model, not a curated record.
CCUCGGAGCGAUAAAUCUGCCGCCAGCAUCGAUAUAGCCGGAGCUUGACGCUGAAUCCGCAACUAUAAACGGGCCAACCAUUGAACGUCGUUAUCCUACUCGGACAUUUUUUGCCGUGUGUAACGCAUCAUCGAACCCGCGAGCAAAACUGGGACUUGGACAUUGGGCGGACAGAACGCGAUAACUUGUUAAGGAUCCGCUACCAGGAUGUGGUGCCAAGACAACAAGGCUUCGAUACGAGACUCGUAGCAAAGUAAGGUCGAGGGCUCGGGAGCUCGAUCUCUCGAACCCGAGCUCUCGAGGGUGUACGAUGUCGAGGCCGAGGGGACCACGCGGGGUAUUAGCAUAUUAAUUUCGCUGAGACUGCGACGCGCAGAUAAAGCAUCUUAGGAAGGCGAACUUCGGUGAUGAAUCAAGCUCAUAGCCGCGGACUUCAACGGCACCGGUGCACCAUCGGUUAUCUCCUGCUUCUUCGCCGGCCCGGCUGCUACUCAUCUUUUCGACGACGCUCCCGAAAUUUACAUAACUCCGCAAAUUCUUCACUGAAUUCGUCCUCUCGCCAUACCAUCGAAUAUACGAAUUAAUUCAUUACUUAAUUGAUCAUAAAUUUUCCACAAAAAAUCUAAUUUAGUUUAAAAUUAAAACAUCAGUA